Non-coding RNA from Cinara cedri, 375 nucleotides. NCBI's taxonomy places the organism in Eukaryota, Metazoa, Arthropoda, Insecta, Hemiptera, Aphididae. The record is from the annotation of a GenBank genome assembly.
CGUGCGUGCGCCGUAUAACGGCCGGUGUGUAAUUUCAUUUCUGGUAAAACUGCCUCAAAAAUUCCUAUAUUUUUACGGAUAUAGUGGCCGAAAAAAAAAGGGCUGAUACUGAAGACGGAUGCAGCUACUGUUGUGUGUGGGAAGUUAAGAAAAUAAGACAUAUAACAGAAAUUUAAUUGUUCUCUUUAUGCGACGAUAGACAAUUGCUAAUGAAAAACGAUCCGGAGCAAAGUUCGGUAAGACCUUUUGAAAUGUAAUUUUUACGAUUUUUGACAAAAAUUGAUCUUAAAACAAUUAUGACAACAAACUAAUGCAUUAAAUACAAAUUUGUUUUUAGACUACCAAAUAAAGCUUAUUAUGUACCUUGUGUUAAAU